This 352-nucleotide unclassified non-coding RNA is filed under the name Hevea brasiliensis (rubber tree). Lineage: Eukaryota; Viridiplantae; Streptophyta; Magnoliopsida; Malpighiales; Euphorbiaceae. The record is from RNAcentral.
CUUGGGUAGUAAAAAAAAGUGGAAUACUGUAUUUCCAGGAUUGGAUUUCAUAUUCGAAUGAACCUCGUAAUCGUAAAAAAGUAGGUUUUUUAGCUAUGGGCCUAGCAAAAGAAAAAUUGGGAUAGGAUCUUAUAGAGUCUCCCCCCUUCAAAACCGGACAUGAAAGUUUCCUCUCAUCCGGCUCAAAUAGUUAUACCAAAUAUAAGGAAAAGAGUUCCUGCUUUCAAACAAAAUCGAUAAAAACAAACCCCAAAAAGAGCUACUCCUUACUCAAGUUCCCAAUGAAUACCAAGCAAGCUUUCAUUGAUUCAUUCUUCUUUUCCAUUUUUUUUUUUAGAAUUUCUGAAUUCUU